UUCAGUCUUCCCAGGCCCACCACUUUCAUCGAGUGAGCAUUCGUCUUCUGGUUACGGGGCCAUAGCUCAGCUGGGAGAGCGCGUGCUUUGCAAGCAUGAGGUCGUCGGUUCGAUCCCGUCUGGCUCCACCAGAUGGUUUGAUCACCAACGGCACAACCGUCGUCCGCGAAACAUCACUUCGCACUCAUUGGUCCGGAUGGACGGUGGCGUGCGUGUUUUCUGACAUCGUAAAGAGGAGAUCGAUCCGAGUUUGGAUCAAGCGAAGCAAUUCGCCUGAGCCAUUCACUAUCUCCGGGAUCAUUUCGGCGCUCGCGCAUCGCAACUCAUCGCAAGAUGAGUGAGAUGAGCGGGUUGUAAAUGAUCUCUGUUAGCGAAGCUUGACCGCCUCGCUAUCGGGCCGAUCUUACGAAGCAAGCUGGUCUUUCUAGUCAAUGUCCGGCUGUGUGAUCGCAUUCAUCGAGGAUGCGCGCCUGAGACUUCGGUCUUUGGGCAGUUGCACAGACAACAUUCUGCCGAGUGUGUGGACAUUGAUAAUGAGAGCAAUCAAGUGCCUUAAGGGUGUUCGGUGGAUGCCUUGGCGCUGAGAGGCGAUGAAGGACGUGCUACGCUGCGAUAA
Molecule: unclassified non-coding RNA, 616 nt
Filed under: Bradyrhizobium sp. STM 3105
Lineage: Bacteria; Pseudomonadati; Pseudomonadota; Alphaproteobacteria; Hyphomicrobiales; Nitrobacteraceae
Description: partial 16S-23S ribosomal RNA intergenic spacer
Rfam family: tRNA (bases 56-128)
Source: RNAcentral